RNAcentral lists this unclassified non-coding RNA (286 nucleotides) under Hevea brasiliensis (rubber tree). Lineage: Eukaryota; Viridiplantae; Streptophyta; Magnoliopsida; Malpighiales; Euphorbiaceae. The record is from RNAcentral.
GGGUGACCUAUGAUAGGCUGACCAUUCAAUUUGCUCAUUAGGGAGAUAUAUGGAACAUGCUGUGGACGAUAGCUCGCUUUGACCUCAAGAUUAACAUCAUACAGUGAGGAAUCAGCAGUGUGGUGCCUAAGAGAGAAAUCUGAUGACUCAUAUUUGGGGUUAACUGUAAAUCGAGACUGACGAUACGGUAGCAACCUCUGUGGAGUAAGCAGGUCUGCAGUUGGCCCCUUCAUUUGAGCUUCUCUAAGAGAAACAUUCCUGCUCCAACCUCGCAACUCAUCCACUU